This is a long non-coding RNA of Rattus norvegicus (Norway rat), 833 nucleotides long. RefSeq lists it as uncharacterized. NCBI's taxonomy places the organism in Eukaryota, Metazoa, Chordata, Mammalia, Rodentia, Muridae. The record is from RefSeq and is a predicted model, not a curated record.
GUACUUCCCCUUAACCCUGCGGUCUGUCUACCGGCUGCCUGCUGGGAGCCAGGCAGUUCCACAGUGGAACAAGCUUAACUUCCCUCAGCUGAAAGGAAUGCUCACCCCUCUGGCCAGCCUGCUGUCAGUGUGUACACUUGAAGACUCAGGGCCUCUCCUUGCUCAGCGCCACCUGUUCUUACACCGGUCUCUGACUUCUCAAAACUGGGUGCCGGAGAACGGGGGCUGGAGACGGACAUCUAUCCUGUAGGCACAGUCCUGAGACACAACUGGCUCCCAUGGAAACCAGGGGGCCCUGAGGGACUCUCUCUGGUGGGGGUUUGAUGAGUUGCUUCUUAGAACCUUUCUCUACGGAUGUGUAGCAGUUACUUUAGUUGUUGCUUAUCGCUGUGACAAAAGACCUGAUAGAAGAACUUAAGGAAGGGACAUCUUGAAUGAGACCCACGGAGGCGGUGAUUGAUGCAAAAGCAAGAGGAGUUUAAUCAUUUCGACAUGUUGGGACCACCCACUUCAAGGGGAGAUGACCCUGAACAGACUCUAACAGAACUAAGAAUACAGACACCUUGUUUGACACAGCCAUCCCCUGACACAUCCAAUAUGUCUCUGAGUCACCAGCCCAGCCUUUUGACAGUCUCAAAGAAAGACCAACCAAGAAAGUCCUUCAAUAGAAAAGACGCGGAUACACAUUUGAGCAUGGACUUUCAUCUGUUCAGUGCGCAGACCACCGAUUGGUAUUUCAUUACUGGUAACCCGAGCAAGCAGGCAAACAGGCCUUUCCAAUCUCCAAACACAACUUUUAGUUUAGAAAAUUCCAAAUAAAGCAGAAUAAUCAA